RNAcentral lists this ribosomal RNA (398 nucleotides) under uncultured Gammaproteobacteria bacterium. RNAcentral's name for it is "bacterial SSU rRNA". It matches the Rfam family "Bacterial small subunit ribosomal RNA", at positions 9 to 410 of the family's 1533-position model. The record is from RNAcentral. Lineage: Bacteria; Pseudomonadati; Pseudomonadota; Gammaproteobacteria.
GAGUUUGAUCAUGGCUCAGAGUGAACGCUGGCGGCAGGCCUAACACAUGCAAGUCGAGCGGCAGCGCGGGGGCAACCCUGGCGGCGAGCGGCGGACGGGUGAGGAAUGCAUCGGAAUCUACCUCGUUGUGGGGGAUAACCUCGGGAAACCGGGACUAAUACCGCAUACGACCUACGGGUGAAAGUGGGGGACCGCAAGGCCUCACGCGAUGAGAUGAGCCGAUGCCGGAUUAGCUAGUUGGCGGGGUAAGGCCCACCAAGGCGACGAUCCGUAGCUGGUCUGAGAGGAUGAUCAGCCACACUGGAACUGAGACACGGCCCAGACUCCUACGGGAGGCAGCAGUGGGGAAUAUUGGACAAUGGGCGCAAGCCUGAUCCAGCCAUGCCGCGUGUGUGAAG